UUCUUUGAUGAAUGUUCUUUUUCUGAAGAGUCGAGUGCCGGUUCGCAAGAACUGGCAUUCAUUUCUUGUAGAAAGAAUAAGAACGGCCAACUGAUGAA
RNAcentral lists this small nucleolar RNA (98 nucleotides) under Drosophila ananassae. Its description in RNAcentral is "snoRNA:GF26129". The record is from RNAcentral. Lineage: Eukaryota; Metazoa; Arthropoda; Insecta; Diptera; Drosophilidae.